This 373-nucleotide long non-coding RNA is filed under the name Salmo trutta (river trout). Its description in RNAcentral is "lncRNA (ENSSTUG00000001561.1)". Lineage: Eukaryota; Metazoa; Chordata; Actinopteri; Salmoniformes; Salmonidae. The record is from RNAcentral.
CGGGCUCAUAGCGUACUCGUAGCACCCGCUCUGAGACAGAGACGACCUGCAAGUUGGAAGACAAAACCCUUCCCCUACAUUACGCAUUCGAGAGGAGUGGUGCAGAAGCUUCAGUCACUGCAUUGACCAUCAUGCAUUCCUCAGAGCACCAGGUCUGUCAGAGUUGGAUUCGAAGCUGGAGCUGAGUCCAAUCUAUAGUUGGUGCUACACUACUGCCUUAAAAUAUUGGUGUCUGAUAAAGGAUUUUGAGACUCGUCCGUCUGUGACCCGCAUUCUGGAACACCCAUUCAUUAAACAGGCCCAUGGCAAAGGCUCUCGGUCAACAGCUGUCCACACUCAUCUGCGAGCAGCAAGACCUGGGCUCCAAACUUAA